CAGCCUCCUUCCACCCACCCUCCCUGCGAUACUGAACUCUUGUCAAGACAUGCCUAAGAGCGAGCAGAGGGACAAAAGCAACUAGACGGUAUUUUGUCCAUGAAUAUGAGUGUACUGUUACCAGCAAAAUCCCACAGGAAGGAGGGACGGUGCAUGUAGGUUUGUUUGAAGUGCAGUGGCUGUUGAGAAGUGAACUGCAACCACUUAGCUAUUGUGCUCAGACUGCACGGCGGUUACCCUUGUCUGUGCUGCAGUAACUUGCACGCACGUUCCUUGGAAGAAUGUUUAUUUAAUAUUGAUAACUCAAAGGCGUAAUUUGAUGCUCGAUUCAAAGGUUACUGGGUACACAAUCCAUAUUUGUAACGUUCAAGAUAACAUUUUAUUUAGUGUAUCUUCAAAUAUGACAGGAAUGUUCUGACGCACUGAUUCUGCUUGUUUUUCCCUCCAGGCGGCUGGUACAGCGUGAAGUGCGGGGAAGGAGCACCACGGUGAAGGCAACUCUGGCCGAUCCUCACCAAGCCGCUCGCAAAAGGAUCUUGGACUAUGGGGCACAAAGAAGCAAGUGGUUGGUCCAGAAGAAUGUUUCAACUCUGCGAUGAAGGUGCCCACUCCCUUCAAAGGAGUUUUGUCAUAACACCAUGUUCUGUGGAUUACAGUAAAAGAGAUCCAAGGCAUGGGGAGACCGAGGGAAUGGUGGAAUGAACCUCGGAGACUGAAAACGAAGCUGAAAAAGGCAGCCUGCUGUUCUGACUGUCCACAGAGGAGGUUCUGUUGGAGCUGGAAAUCUCUGUGGGUGUGAUUCUUGCUGUCCCCUCUAUGGCCAGUGGGAGGCGGUGUGUGCAGCCUGGUACGUGGGCCCAGUCGGUGGUCGUGUGGGUGUAAGUAGAUGAAAACUUUCAGUGUGGGACAUGACAAACAGAGACACACAAAGCAUGUUUCCCUGCCAUCUUGAACCUAACUAAGCACCAGGCCACCGACUCACACCCAACAGUUUCUCUCUAAAACCUCUGUUAGUUUUGGUUUUAGAGAUACAAUAUGGAAGCAGGCCCUUCGGCCCACUGAGUCCGC
Long non-coding RNA from Amblyraja radiata (thorny skate), 1068 nucleotides. RefSeq lists it as uncharacterized. The record is from RefSeq and is a predicted model, not a curated record. The transcript is spliced from 4 exons. NCBI's taxonomy places the organism in Eukaryota, Metazoa, Chordata, Chondrichthyes, Rajiformes, Rajidae.